UACGUAGGGUGCAAGCGUUAAUCGGAAUUACUGGGCGUAAAGCGUGCGCAGGCGGUUGUGCAAGACCGAUGUGAAAUCCCCGGGCUUAACCUGGGAAUGGCAUUGGUGACUGCACGGCUAGAGUGUGUCAGAGGGGGGUAGAAUUCCGCGUGUAGCAGUGAAAUGCGUAGAGAUGUGGAGGAAUACCGAUGGCGAAGGCAGCCCCCUGGGAUAACACUGACGCUCAUGCACGAAAGCGUGGGGAGCAAACAGG
Molecule: ribosomal RNA, 253 nt
Filed under: uncultured bacterium
Lineage: Bacteria
Description: partial 16S ribosomal RNA
Rfam family: Bacterial small subunit ribosomal RNA
Source: RNAcentral